RNAcentral lists this unclassified non-coding RNA (191 nucleotides) under Colletotrichum gloeosporioides. Its description in RNAcentral is "ITS1". The record is from RNAcentral. Lineage: Eukaryota; Fungi; Ascomycota; Sordariomycetes; Glomerellales; Glomerellaceae.
CUGAGUUACCGCUCUAUAACCCUUUGUGAACAUACCUACAACUGUUGCUUCGGCGGGUAGGCCGUCCCCUGAAAAGGACGCCUCCCGGCCCGGACCGGACCCCCCGCGGGACCGGACCCGGCGCCCGCCGGAGGAUAACCAAACUCUAUUGUAACGACGUUUCUUCUGAGUGGCAUAAGCAAAAUAAUCAA